Molecule: ribosomal RNA, 485 nt
Filed under: uncultured bacterium
Lineage: Bacteria
Description: partial 16S ribosomal RNA
Rfam family: Bacterial small subunit ribosomal RNA
Source: RNAcentral
GAUGAACGCUAGCGGCAGGCCUAAUACAUGCAAGUCGAACGGUGUCUUCGGACAUAGUGGCGCACGGGUGCGUAACACGUAUGCAACCUACCUUACAUUGGGGGAUAGCCUUUCGAAAGGGAGAUUAAUACCGCAUAAGACAGUAGCUGGGCAUCCAGCAGCUGUUAAAGAUUUAUCGAUGUAAGAUGGGCAUGCGUCCAAUUAGUCAGUUGGCGAGGUAAUGGCUCACCAAGACUUUGAUUGGUAGGGAAACUGAGAGGUCAAUCCCCCACACUGGCACUGAGAUACGGGCCAGACUCCUACGGGAGGCAGCAGUAGGGAAUAUUGGGCAAUGGACGCAAGUCUGACCCAGCCAUGCCGCGUGCAGGAUGAAGGCGUUAUGCGUUGUAAACUGCUUUUAUACAGGAAGAAACGACUCUUGCGAGAGGCAUUGACGGUACUGUAUGAAUAAGCACCGGCUAACUCCGUGCCAGCAGCCGCGGUAA